ACAGCAGUAGCCACGGGAAUACGGAGGGAGCUAGCGUUGUUCGGAAUUACUGGGCGUAAAGCGCGCGUAGGCGGUUACUCAAGUCAGAGGUGAAAGCCCGGGGCUCAACCCCGGAACUGCCUUUGAAACUAGGUGACUAGAAUCUUGGAGAGGUCAGUGGAAUUCCGAGUGUAGAGGUGAAAUUCGUAGAUAUUCGGAAGAACACCAGUGGCGAAGGCGACUGACUGGACAAGUAUUGACGCUGAGGUGCGAAAGCGUGGGGAGCAAACAGGAUUAGAUACCCCAGUAGUCCCUGUCUCUUAUAC
This 305-nucleotide ribosomal RNA is filed under the name uncultured bacterium. RNAcentral's name for it is "partial 16S ribosomal RNA". It matches the Rfam family "Bacterial small subunit ribosomal RNA", at positions 505 to 807 of the family's 1533-position model. The record is from RNAcentral.